This 253-nucleotide ribosomal RNA is filed under the name uncultured bacterium. RNAcentral's name for it is "partial 16S ribosomal RNA". It matches the Rfam family "Bacterial small subunit ribosomal RNA", at positions 524 to 776 of the family's 1533-position model. The record is from RNAcentral.
UACGGGGGGAGCAAGCGUUGUUCGGAUUUACUGGGCGUAAAGGGCUCGUAGGCGGUUUGUCGCGUCGGGAGUGAAAACCUUGGGCUUAACUCAGGGCUUGCUUUCGAUACGGGCAGACUAGAGGUAUGCAGGGGAGAACGGAAUUCCUGGUGUAGCGGUGAAAUGCGCAGAUAUCAGGAGGAACACCGGUGGCGAAGGCGGUUCUCUGGGCAUGAUCUGACGCUGAGGAGCGAAAGUGUGGGGAGCGAACAGG